UAGUAAUUCUAGGGCUAAUACAUGAGUAAAGUCCCGUGGGGAUGUGUUUAUUAAAAUGAAAACCAUAUGCUUCCGCAUGAUAGUGAGUAAUAAUAACCUAUCGUAUCGCAUGCUAUAAGUAGCGAUGAAUCUUUCAAGUUUCUGCCCUAUCAGCUUUCGAUGGUAGCAUAUGGGUCUACCAUGGCAGUAACGGGUAACGAA
Molecule: ribosomal RNA, 201 nt
Filed under: Blastocystis sp. subtype 2
Lineage: Eukaryota; Bigyra; Opalinata; Blastocystidae
Description: partial 18S ribosomal RNA
Rfam family: Eukaryotic small subunit ribosomal RNA
Source: RNAcentral